CCUACGGGAGGCAGCAGUGGGGAAUAUUGCACAAUGGGCGCAAGCCUGAUGCAGCGACGCCGCGUGAGGGAUGACGGCCUUCGGGUUGUAAACCUCUUUCGCCAGGGACGAAGCGCAAGUGACGGUACCUGGAGAAGAAGCACCGGCCAACUACGUGCCAGCAGCCGCGGUAAUACGUAGGGUGCGAGCGUUGUCCGGAAUUACUGGGCGUAAAGAGCUCGUAGGUGGUUUGUCGCGUUGUUCGUGAAAACUCACAGCUUAACUGUGGGCGUGCGGGCGAUACGGGCAGACUGGAGUACUGCAGGGGAGACUGGAAUUCCUGGUGUAGCGGUGGAAUGCGCAGAUAUCAGGAGGAACACCGGUGGCGAAGGCGGGUCUCUGGGCAGUAACUGACGCUGAGGAGCGAAAGCGUGGGGAGCGAACAGGAUUAGAUACCCUGGUAGUCCACGCCGUAAACGGUGGGUACUAGGUGUGGGUUUCCUUCCUUGGGAUCCGUGCCGUAGCUAACGCAUUAAGUACCCCGCCUGGGGAGUACGGCCGCAAGGCUAAAACUCAAGGAAAUUGACGGGGGCCCGCACAAGCGGCGGAGCAUGUGGAUUAAUUCGAUGCAACGCGAAGAACCUUAC
RNAcentral lists this ribosomal RNA (626 nucleotides) under uncultured Mycobacterium sp. RNAcentral describes it as "bacterial SSU rRNA". It matches the Rfam family "Bacterial small subunit ribosomal RNA", at positions 338 to 974 of the family's 1533-position model. The record is from RNAcentral. Lineage: Bacteria; Bacillati; Actinomycetota; Actinomycetes; Mycobacteriales; Mycobacteriaceae.